GUAGAUAUAGUUUAACAAAAACAUUAGACUGUGAAUCUAAUAAUAGAAACUUAAAAUUCCUUAUCUACC
RNAcentral lists this transfer RNA (69 nucleotides) under Elasmotherium sibiricum. Its description in RNAcentral is "tRNA-His". It matches the Rfam family "tRNA". Rfam says of the family: Transfer RNA (tRNA) molecules are approximately 80 nucleotides in length. The record is from RNAcentral. Lineage: Eukaryota; Metazoa; Chordata; Mammalia; Perissodactyla; Rhinocerotidae.